UGGGGAAUUUUGGACAAUGGGCGAAAGCCUGAUCCAGCAAUGCCGCGUGUGUGAAGAAGGCCUUCGGGUUGUAAAGCACUUUUGUCCGGAAAGAAAUCCUUGGCUCUAAUACAGUCGGGGGAUGACGGUACCGGAAGAAUAAGCACCGGCUAACUACGUGCCAGCAGCCGCGGUAAUACGUAGGGUGCAAGCGUUAAUCGGAAUUACUGGGCGUAAAGCGUGCGCAGGCGGUUUGCUAAGACCGAUGUGAAAUCCCCGGGCUCAACCUGGGAACUGCAUUGGUGACUGGCAGGCUAGAGUAUGGCAGAGGGGGGUAGAAUUCCACGUGUAGCAGUGAAAUGCGUAGAGAUGUGGAGGAAUACCGAUGGCGAAGGCAGCCCCCUGGGCCAAUACUGACGCUCAUGCACGAAAGCGUGGGGGAGCAAACAGGGUUAGAUACCCUGGUAGUCCACGCCCUAAACGAUGUCAACUGUUGUUGGGGAUUCAUUCCUUAGUAACGUAGCUAACGCGUGAAGUUGACCGCCUGGGGAGUACGGUCGCAAGAUUAAAACUCAAGGAAUUGACGGGGUCAUAGCUGUUUCCU
Molecule: ribosomal RNA, 583 nt
Filed under: uncultured bacterium
Lineage: Bacteria
Description: partial 16S ribosomal RNA
Rfam family: Bacterial small subunit ribosomal RNA
Source: RNAcentral